Molecule: long non-coding RNA, 1868 nt
Organism: Eurytemora carolleeae
Lineage: Eukaryota; Metazoa; Arthropoda; Copepoda; Calanoida; Temoridae
Exons: 4
Source: RefSeq, a predicted model, not a curated record
AAACAUAUAAACAUAUAAACAUAUAAACAUAUAAACAUAAAUCAAAUGAUCUCAACUGAACAGACAUGUUAUCAUUUUAAUAGAAGGAAAUGGUGUCACAUAUGUUUAUUUAUUUUUCAGAUAGAAUGGCAGAGAUUAUGAAAAAAGAAUAAGAUUCAAGGAAUCUGAGAUAACUUCAACUGUAGAGGAUAAAUGUUUUGUUUAUAUACCUGAAGAUGAUAUAAAGCUGGAAAAUACAGAAAUAAAAGGAUUUCUGAAAAACCUGGAGAAUCCUUGUGAUGAAUGUGAAGAAGUUGGAGCGGAGAAAGAUGAAACUGAAACUACACAUGAAAAUUCCAACUUUCUCCUACAUUUCUAAAAUUCUUGAUUAUUUAUCCUUAUACUAAAGAAUCAAUGUUCUGAAUUAUAUAACCCUAUAUAUUCUUUUAAUCUUAUCAAGCCAUGAGAAAUGUUAAUCAUGAGCUGUUUUAUAUAAAAUUCUUUAUCUUAUUGAGAAUUCAAAAGAAAGAAAGUUUUUAAUUUAAAAAGUAAAGAUUUUAGCUUGUAUAAUAAUGAUUUUAAUUUGGAAAGAAUAAUUUAAACUUAAAAAACUAUAUAUCGUCUUUUUCAGACGAAGAAUGGGUUGAUUAUAUUUAUAACCCGAUUAAGUCUCCAGGUCUCCAUUUUUACGAGAUCUUAGAUUAAGCGUGUUCUCCCUAACUACAACCACCCUAAAAAUCUACCACCUACAACAUCAUCCUACAAUCUUUUACCUAUCACCUUAUCCACAAAUCUUCAUUCGUCGAGUAAAUGAAACUCAGGUGAACCAUGCGAAAUCAUAAAUAGACUUUGAACCUUGAUCCUUGGAAUGUUCAUCGGUAAUAUUAUGCACAUGCAGAUGCCUUAAAUAUAUGUAUUCAGGACCGUCUCAACCCUGAUGUUCAUAUACUCCUCCGUCUGAUAGAGCUGAUGGAGUAAAUACUCUCCACCUGGAGAAGUCUUCUGAUGUCGUCUUCCAUCUUCAGAACUCUUUUAGAUUCCUUUGGCCGUCUUCCACCAUCAUGAUUCUUCUUGAUCAUCAUCCUGAGCAUGAGAAUGUGAGCUUACCUCCUCUGAUCCACAACUCGGAGUACUGAUUGAACUAACCGAGCUGCCUCCGACUGGACAACACAGAUUUCGAGGACUUAUGUUGAGAAGUCAUAUGCUUUAGACGUGUCCUGUUAAGACUCGAAAAGACUCUGAAUGAAGGAUAAGAUAUUCUCUCUCUGAACUGUAGCUCAUAUCAAGACCCCAGCCCGAGCAACUUUGUAAGUGUGUUUCUAAAUUCUGAAUAUUUUACUAAUAUGAUUUUGUAGUGAUUCAAAAACUAAAUUUCUUUAUUGAGACCUGGAGCAAAUUUUUGUAAACAUAUACAUAUAUAUUUUGUUAUAUUAUAAUAAUUUAAUUUCAGUUCACAGUGUGAGAGCUGAAAUUGAGGAUAAACUACUUCAAUAAAGCUUAUAUAAACAUAACACUCGUGUAUUAAUGUGGUGCGCUGGUUAUAAGGGAAUACUCGCCCUGGAUAUGAGUGAGUUUUUGUGUCUUUAAAGUCUCAAAAACAACGUUACAAGUACAAAUUCCAUUGAAGUUUACCCAACUUCUGGGGGAAAAAGGGUUUUUCAAAGAUGGGGGGAUUGAUUUUAUUUAGAAAAUAUACAACCCUUUGAUUUUCCUGCUUAGAUUUUUCCUUGUUCUGCUAACAUUCUUUAUUGUAAUGGUAAAAGCAGAAAUGUUCUGUUUGCAAAAAUUUAUCUUUGCACAUUAUGCUAUAUAAACUACAAAUUAAGCUAAUUUUGCUUGUGGAUUUAUUUUCCUAUAAACAUACAUACUUUUCUCAUUGUAAAUUUGGU